This 30-nucleotide non-coding RNA is filed under the name Rattus norvegicus (Norway rat). Lineage: Eukaryota; Metazoa; Chordata; Mammalia; Rodentia; Muridae. The record is from RNAcentral.
UAGGCUGCACCUUGGUUCCCAUCAACCAUU